RNAcentral lists this ribosomal RNA (465 nucleotides) under Vreelandella stevensii. RNAcentral's name for it is "partial 16S ribosomal RNA". It matches the Rfam family "Bacterial small subunit ribosomal RNA", at positions 338 to 795 of the family's 1533-position model. Lineage: Bacteria; Pseudomonadati; Pseudomonadota; Gammaproteobacteria; Oceanospirillales; Halomonadaceae. The record is from RNAcentral.
CCUACGGGUGGCAGCAGUGGGGAAUAUUGGACAAUGGGGGGAACCCUGAUCCAGCCAUGCCGCGUGUGUGAAGAAGGCCCUCGGGUUGUAAAGCACUUUCAGUGAGGAAGAACGCCUGGUGGUUAAUACCCAUCAGGAAAGACAUCACUCACAGAAGAAGCACCGGCUAACUCCGUGCCAGCAGCCGCGGUAAUACGGAGGGUGCGGGCGUUAAUCGGAAUUACUGGGCGUAAAGCGCGCGUAGGUGGCUUGAUAAGCCGGUUGUGAAAGCCCCGGGCUCAACCUGGGAACGGCAUCCGGAACUGUCAAGCUAGAGUGCAGGAGAGGAAGGUAGAAUUCCCGGUGUAGCGGUGAAAUGCGUAGAGAUCGGGAGGAAUACCAGUGGCGAAGGCGGCCUUCUGGACUGACACUGACACUGAGGUGCGAAAGCGUGGGUAGCAAACAGGAUUAGAUACCCUUGUAGUC